This 72-nucleotide transfer RNA is filed under the name Trichonephila clavipes. It matches the Rfam family "tRNA". From Rfam's summary of the family: Transfer RNA (tRNA) molecules are approximately 80 nucleotides in length. Their secondary structure includes four short double-helical elements and three loops (D, anti-codon, and T loops). Further hydrogen bonds mediate the characteristic L-shaped molecular structure. tRNAs have two regions of fundamental functional importance: the anti-codon, which is responsible for specific mRNA codon recognition, and the 3' end, to which the tRNAs corresponding amino acid is attached (by aminoacyl-tRNA synthetases). tRNAs cope with the degeneracy of the genetic code in two manners: having more than one tRNA (with a specific anti-codon) for a particular amino acid; and 'wobble' base-pairing, i.e. permitting non-standard base-pairing at the 3rd anti-codon position. Lineage: Eukaryota; Metazoa; Arthropoda; Arachnida; Araneae; Nephilidae. The record is from Rfam by way of RNAcentral.
GGGGGUAUAGCUCACUGGUAGAGCAUUCGUCUGCAGAUUGAGAGGUCCCUGGUUCAAACCUUGGUGCCCCUU